AAAUCUCUGAAAACUCCUAUGAGGUCAAAUUAACAUUUGCUGUGAGUAACGUCAGCAUGCCAGUGGACAUUAAACAAAGAAACAGCACCUUUACACAUCUCCAGGAUGUUGUCAAUGUUGCGGUGAACACUCUUCUGAAUGAGCCUGGCAAAGCGUCUCUGCAUCCCAACUCCUCCAGUUUCCAGAGCACACCAAACCAAAUUAAUGGCUCUUUGAAUUAUAUCAUCCGAGAUGGAGAUGCCAUACAACCAGUCAGCUUCCUACAAAAGCUCCAGUCACUCAAGGG
Molecule: non-coding RNA, 286 nt
Organism: Paramisgurnus dabryanus
Lineage: Eukaryota; Metazoa; Chordata; Actinopteri; Cypriniformes; Cobitidae
Source: RefSeq, a predicted model, not a curated record